AGCUCUGCUCAGUGGCGAUAUCGUAACCAAUGAGGUUUUACCGAUGUGCGAUUAUUGCUAGUUGAAAAAACACAUUUUGCAAGAAGUCCCGUUGGUCUUGGGGGUCUUCGUAGCCACAUUGGUUGCGCGUUCGCU
Molecule: small nuclear RNA, 135 nt
Organism: Toxorhynchites rutilus septentrionalis
Lineage: Eukaryota; Metazoa; Arthropoda; Insecta; Diptera; Culicidae
Product: U4 spliceosomal RNA
Exons: 1
Source: RefSeq, a predicted model, not a curated record